RNAcentral lists this ribosomal RNA (252 nucleotides) under uncultured bacterium. Its description in RNAcentral is "partial 16S ribosomal RNA". It matches the Rfam family "Bacterial small subunit ribosomal RNA", at positions 524 to 776 of the family's 1533-position model. The record is from RNAcentral.
UACGGGGGGGCAAGCGUUGUUCGGAAUUACUGGGCGUAAAGGGUUCGUAGGUGGCCGACUAAGUCAAACGUGAAAUCCCUCAGCUUAACUGGGGAACUGCGUCUGAUACUGGUCGGCUUGAGUGCAGGAGAGGAACGCGGAAUUCCAGGUGUAGCGGUGAAAUGCGUAGAUAUCUGGAGGAACACCGGUGGCGAAGGCGGCGUUCUGGACUGCAACUGACACUGAGGAACGAAAGCCAGGGGAGCAAACGGG